GAUCAUGGCUCAAGAUGAACGCUAGCGACAGGCCUAACACAUGCAAGUCGAGGGGCAGCGGGGAGGUAGCAAUACCUUUGCCGGCGACCGGCGCACGGGUGAGUAACACGUAUGCAAUCCACCUGUAACAGGGGGAUAACCCGGAGAAAUCCGGACUAAUACCCCAUAAUAUGGGCGCUCCGCAUGGAGAGUCCAUUAAAGAGAGCAAUCUUGGUUACAGACGAGCAUGCGCU
This 233-nucleotide ribosomal RNA is filed under the name uncultured bacterium. Its description in RNAcentral is "partial 16S ribosomal RNA". It matches the Rfam family "Bacterial small subunit ribosomal RNA", at positions 15 to 237 of the family's 1533-position model. The record is from RNAcentral.